GAUUCGAUGGAAGAAAUAUAAAUGGACCACCAACACAUGUCGAUUGGGAUUGAGUAGAAGUAUUUGUUAGGUUCUUGAGGAGUUUCUAUGAAAUGAAUUUAAAAUUUAGUGGCUCGAAGUAUGUAACUUCUAACUCUUUCUUUCAAGAAAUAUGUGAAAUUCAUGGAGAGUUGAAUGAAUUAGCUAAAGAGUCUAACACUUUGAUGGGAUCCAUGGCAAUUAGUAUGUGGAAAAAAUAUGAUAAGUAUUGGGGCAAUGUUGAAAGGUUUAAUCAGUUGUUGUUCGUAGCAACAGUUCUUGACCCAAGGUGCAAGUUAGAACUUCUUAAAGUCGGGUUUGAACUAAUUUAUGAUGUAAAAAUUGCAAAAAUGUUGUUAAAAAGAGUUGAAGAGACACUCCACAGGUUGUAUGCAUGCUAUGAAGAAAUGGCAAUGCCGAUCACUCCACCAUUGGCUUCAUCAAAGGAGACUACCAAAAAUAGUAGUCCAAGUCCUUCACAGCCUUCUUUUGGUCCUUCUAAAAAGAUUCCUUCUAUUUUUAAAGCUAAACUUACGCAAAACAUGCAAUUUGAGAAGAAUGAUUUGGUUGAUUAUUUGUUUGAUCGUUGUGAAGAUUUGACCAAUCCCAAAUUUGACAUAUUAGUAUGGUGGAAAUUGAAUGAGCACAAGUAUAAAAUUGUCUCCAAAAUUGCCAAAGAUGUAUUAGCAAUUCAAAUAUCCACGGUCGCUUCAGAGUCGGCAUUUUCCAUGAGUAGUCGGAUUCUUGACUCAUUUAGGAGUUCAUUGAGUGCACAGAUGGUUGAGGCCUUAAUAUGCACGAAGAAUUGGUUGCAUAGCAGCAAUGAAACUAUAGUGCUUUGUCAAUAUUUGGAUGAGGUAGAGGCAUUAAAUGACUCGGAGAAAGCUAUAGAAGGCGACAUUUGUUUUCUAUUAUCAAUUUUGACAUUUUUAUGCAUAUGGUUUCUUAGUUUCUUGUUAAAAUUAUUCUUAAGGACUAAUAAAUAUUUUGAUAUUUGCAUAUUAUACAGAAGUCGAAUCAUGUGUUACAAUGGGGGAUAUUGAUCCAAUUUUUAUCAAAUGAGAGGUUAGUACUCUUGUACUUACUAUGAUAUUAUUGCUCGUAAAAGUUUGAGUGGAGUGCUUGUUGCUAAAUACUAAC
This 1158-nucleotide long non-coding RNA is filed under the name Olea europaea subsp. europaea. Lineage: Eukaryota; Viridiplantae; Streptophyta; Magnoliopsida; Lamiales; Oleaceae. The record is from RNAcentral.